GCUGGGCGUGGUGGUGCGUGCCUGUAGUCCCAGCUACUAAGGAGGCCGAGGCAGGAGAAUCGCUUGAAUCCGGGAGGUGGAGGUUGCAGUGAGUCGAGAUCGCACCACUGCACUCCAACCUGGGUGACAGAGCGAGACUCUGUCUCAA
Molecule: non-coding RNA, 148 nt
Filed under: Homo sapiens (human)
Lineage: Eukaryota; Metazoa; Chordata; Mammalia; Primates; Hominidae
Source: Rfam by way of RNAcentral